GAAUCAGCUCUGCACUUUGUUUCACCUUGGCUGGGACAACAAAGGCAUCAUGCAGCCAAUCAGCAUGAUCUUGGAAGAGGCCAAUGCCUGGAAAGGAAAGGGUUUCCAGAGUCACCCUCCCACGGUGACAGAGUGAGAGCCAGCCAUCGCAUACAACCUUGGAGAGGGUGGGAGGUGGACGUAGACCCCCUGAGAAGCUGAAACUCAAGCCAGGAAGAAAACAGUUUGUGCUGCAUCUGCACGGACACCUUUAAACAGGAAUACAGUGGCACGGGGAUGCUUCCUCAGCAGACUCCAUCAGCCACAGGAUUGCCCAGGCUUUCCAAUCCACCUUCCUCAGCCUCCCAGAGUGUUGGGAUUCCUUGUCAAUGUGCCUGGCCUCCACAAAACGUGUGUACGAGUGACACUGUCACGGGAGCAGUGCAGACGAGCACACCACGCAGAGGCAUAGAGAGGAGGCCACAGUCUGGUGGGACAGGAAGCCAACCACACAGCCCCAGCCUGGAAAUGAUGCCACCCAAAGUCUGUAGGGAACAGUGAGGAGAGCUGCUCUGACAUGACGCUGUGGCCCUGGGGGAGGCAGCAUCUUAGCUUGGUUUGGAGCGUGGAUCUGAGUCCGGGUAGAGGUUGGGGAAUAUUCCAGAGAGCAAAGAGAAAGCAGCUUGAAUCAAUCGCAGAGGAGGCAGCACAUGGGGGAAGCAGCAAGCUCUUCAGUUUUAGCUUGCAAGUCAUUUUGAGGAAGAGAAAUGUGAAAGAAUAUCUACAUGGAGGCAGGAAAAAAGUUACAGACAAAAGCCGAGUGCUUAUGCACCUGUAACUCCAGCUCUCAGGAGACUGAGGCAGGAGGAUUGCAAGUUCAGGCCAGAGUGGGCUACUCUGAGAUCCUGUUGCAAAACACAAAACAAGACAAAUCAACGUAAACAAAAACCAGAACAAGACAAAAGUUGAAGACAAGAUCACUUUGGAGGCUCAGUUUAAAGUGACUCUUGUUAAGAAAAUAAUGAAAGAAGAUGGUAUAAAGCAUUCUGCCAGGGUAAGGGUUGG
Molecule: long non-coding RNA, 1044 nt
Filed under: Heterocephalus glaber (naked mole-rat)
Lineage: Eukaryota; Metazoa; Chordata; Mammalia; Rodentia; Bathyergidae
Description: lncRNA (ENSHGLG00000045370.1)
Source: RNAcentral